CAGUCGCCGCGGGAAUACAGAGGGUGCGAGCGUUAAUCGGAUUUACUGGGCGUAAAGCGUGCGUAGGCGGCUUCUUAAGUCGGAUGUGAAAUCCCUGAGCUUAACUUAGGAAUUGCAUUCGAUACUGGGAAGCUAGAGUAUGGGAGAGGAUGGUAGAAUUCCAGGUGUAGCGGUGAAAUGUGUAGAGAUCUGGAGGAAUACCGAUGGCGAAGGCAGCCAUCUGGCCUAAUACUGACGCUGAGGUACGAAAGCAUGGGGAGCAAACAGGAUUAGAUACCCCAGUAGUCCCUGUCUCUUAUAA
Molecule: ribosomal RNA, 301 nt
Filed under: uncultured bacterium
Lineage: Bacteria
Description: partial 16S ribosomal RNA
Rfam family: Bacterial small subunit ribosomal RNA
Source: RNAcentral